Molecule: ribosomal RNA, 492 nt
Filed under: uncultured bacterium
Lineage: Bacteria
Description: partial 16S ribosomal RNA
Rfam family: Bacterial small subunit ribosomal RNA
Source: RNAcentral
AUUGAACGCUGGCGGCAUGCUUUACACAUGCAAGUCGAACGGUAACAGGCCUUCGGGUGCUGACGAGUGGCGAACGGGUGAGUAAUGCAUCGGAACGUACCCAGAGGUGGGGGAUAACGCAGCGAAAGCUGUGCUAAUACCGCAUGUGAUCUGAGGAUGAAAGCGGGGGACCGCGCAGCAAUGUUUGGCCUCGCGCCUUUGGAGCGGCCGAUGUCGGAUUAGCUAGUUGGUGGGGUAAAGGCCUACCAAGGCGACGAUCCGUAGCUGGUCUGAGAGGACGAACAGCCACACUGGGACUGAGACACGGCCCAGACUCCUACGGGAGGCAGCAGUGGGGAAUUUUGGACAAUGGGCGCAAGCCUGAUCCAGCAAUGCCGCGUGCGGGAAGAAGGCCUUCGGGUUGUAAACCGCUUUUGGCAGGAACGAAACGGUGUCCGCUAAUACCGGGCGCUAAUGACGGUACCUGCAGAAUAAGCACCGGCUAACUACGUG